Molecule: long non-coding RNA, 969 nt
Organism: Mya arenaria
Lineage: Eukaryota; Metazoa; Mollusca; Bivalvia; Myida; Myidae
Exons: 5
Source: RefSeq, a predicted model, not a curated record
GUUGUGUGUGGAUAAGAAAUGCAGAGUGGUACCACCAAUUACCUAAGCCACCAUUCCCCUAACAGACAAAAGGCUCAUGGGGACAGUUCCUGCAGUUUACAGCAAAUUGUAGCCCUACAAACUUCAGAUACUGCCAAGCUUGGGUGCACUGGGCCGGUUAUCCAGCCGUGUGGAAUCAACAUCUCCAGCUGAACUUGGGCCGGGAAUUAUAUAAGAAUCCUUAGCAGCAUGAGUGCCAGCCAGUCAUUGCUGUUCUUUGCAUUGCUGAGGAGGACAGUCCUGCCAAUAUAACAGUUUGUUCAAUAACAGGAGACAAACAGAAACACAGAGGUGCUAUACAUUCCGAUGGAAAAUACAACAAAAGCAUCUCCCAUCAUUUUGGCGUGGCUCAGAUCAAGAGGAGAAUUUUAAGAAAGGUGAUGGUUGGGCACACACAAGAAGACAGAGAUCACAUGUGUCCAGGCAUAUGAGUAGACAGGAGUUUCACACUCUGCCAAACUUACUUCAUCAGAGGAUCAGAAAGCUUCUCAAGAUCCCGCACUGCACACUUAGAUAUAGUCUUUGACUACAACAAGGGGAUGAAAGUACAGAGAGGUCCAAUUGAAAUCAAUUCGGUGCUGCGUCAUUUCUUCAUUCUGGAAGUCGAUGGACAUGAUUUAUCAUGGCAUCAGGUGUGCAGUUUGUCGACUAUCAGCAGUCUUUUCACCAGUUGUGCAACUUGAGCUGGUAGCUUUAUUGCUUGAAGCCACAGCAUAAGAGGGGGAAGGUGCAGGCUCAUCAAAAAGUCUCAAAAGUUGAAACUAGGAAAAGAAGUUUGUCAAGAGUGUGAAUAUUUGCUUUGAAAACCAUCGUUACGAUGAUUUGGUGUCCUUUGAAACUUGAUACAUACUAUGUGUAUGUUGAAUGAAUUGAGAUGCUUAAAUAAAGAACCGCUAUUCAAAUAUCAGGAAACUGCAUUGUUCAUACUAA